UUUACGAGCAAAUCGAGUUUAACCAUCAUAGACACUUUACACAAUUUAUUUGCAGACUAGCUAAUAACCCGUGGCUAUAAUCAAGCAAAACCAUCAAAGAUACUGUACCAUUGUACGAUCAUCAUUAUCAGGAAUUUACACAAAGACCACAUAGAGCACAUCAAAGAUAUGAUACCAUCAACAUCACAAAACCAAAAGAUGUUUUUUAUAUUACCUAAAAUCAAUCAAAAUCAAGAAGAAUAUUGCUUCAACAUCUUUAUUGAUUUAUAAUUUUUUGAUAUGUUGAUUAUUUCUUUUUCUUUGACUUUUUGUACUGUGUAAAUU
This is a long non-coding RNA of Gordionus sp. m RMFG-2023, 324 nucleotides long. RefSeq lists it as uncharacterized. NCBI's taxonomy places the organism in Eukaryota, Metazoa, Nematomorpha, Gordioida, Chordodea, Parachordodidae. The transcript has 3 exons. The record is from RefSeq and is a predicted model, not a curated record.